CAAACCUCAAGCUCACGCUUGGUAUUGGGCGACGUCCGCAAGGACGCGCCAGAAACCCGUAGGCAGUGGUGCCCGCCUCCCAGCGUAGUCAAGUUACCCGCUUCGGAGCGCGCGGCGCCGCCCGCCGGACAACACCUCUAUUUUCUAUG
Molecule: unclassified non-coding RNA, 149 nt
Filed under: uncultured Tubeufiaceae
Lineage: Eukaryota; Fungi; Ascomycota; Dothideomycetes; Tubeufiales; Tubeufiaceae
Description: sequence contains ITS2
Source: RNAcentral